This 391-nucleotide unclassified non-coding RNA is filed under the name soil metagenome. Its description in RNAcentral is "partial contains 5.8S ribosomal RNA, internal transcribed spacer 2, and large subunit ribosomal RNA". The stretch from base 1 to 122 matches the Rfam family "5.8S ribosomal RNA", at positions 35 to 154 of the family's 154-position model. The record is from RNAcentral.
GAUGAAGAACGUAGCGAAAUGCGAUACUUGGUGUGAAUUGCAGAAUCCCGUGAACCAUCGAGUCUUUGAACGCAAGUUGCGCCCGAAGCCAUUAGGCCGAGGGCACGCCUGCCUGGGCGUCACACGUCGUUGCCCCCCCAUCUACUCCUUCGGGAUUGCGGGGGGCGGAUGAUGGCCUCCCGUGCGCCUCGUCGCGCGGUUGGCAUAAAUGCCAAGUCCUCGGCGACGCACGCCACGACAAUCGGUGGUUGCGAAACCUCGGUUGCCCGUCGUGUGCGGUCGUCGCGCAUCGAGGGCUCGAAAAAAUUGCCGGGUUCCGGCUCGGCUUUCAACGCGACCCCAGGUCAGGCGGGGUUACCCGCUGAAUUUAAGCAUAUCAAUAAGCGGAGGA